Ceratina calcarata is the source of this 387-nucleotide long non-coding RNA. RefSeq lists it as uncharacterized. The transcript has 3 exons. NCBI's taxonomy places the organism in Eukaryota, Metazoa, Arthropoda, Insecta, Hymenoptera, Apidae. The record is from RefSeq and is a predicted model, not a curated record.
UGGGCGAGGGGUGGGCUCCCAAAAGCGGAAGGGGAAAACAGCUCUGUUUGAGCCCACAAGUGGUGCCCUCAGUGCGGUCCCGCCUGAUUUUGAACAUGCUUAUUCCUCUGAUUCGCCCGAAACAUGCAUGUUGAAUAUGUGAAUUGUCAGAGCCGUCAUGAUAUUUUAUGAGACAAUCGUAAUAAAGAACAUAUAUAUAAAUGGAAGAGCACAUAGAGAAGAAAUCGAAAGAUAAUCGCUAGGUUACUUACCAAAGGGCUUACUUUGAAAGGAUUAUGUACUGAACAGUUUCCAAAAGAAAUGCAGAAUGAAAAUGUGAAUGUACAACAUAAAGGAGCAUAUACAGAGGAUUCAAUUAUGGGAAGGAGCAAUUAUGAAUCAAGACCU